GGGCCAUAUUAAUUGGUCUCACAGUCCUUGCUGCUAGUGAGGCUCGGUGUAACCAAGUUUGCGAGCAUAGAGAACAAAGCAACCUACCUCAGACAAAGAAGUGAGCGUUUAUUGAUGAAGAAGCAGUAGUCAAUGGCCAAGUAGCUUGGACUGAAAAUCUUCGAAGGUAAAAUAAUUGUCACGUUUUGCAAAGGAGAAUGCGGUGAUAAAUGAAGCGAAGGAUGGGUUCAGAUUAGCCAGGAUGAAUGACGAAAGAUAAAAAUCAUCCAAUGGUUUCCCAACUGUAGCUAACUAGUUGGCCAUGACCGGGCUAGCACUCGGGAAGGGGGCACAACUACCCGUGCUGGACUCCAUUAGAACUUCAAUAGCCACCGGACACCAGUUGUAGAAGG
Molecule: long non-coding RNA, 392 nt
Filed under: Olea europaea (common olive)
Lineage: Eukaryota; Viridiplantae; Streptophyta; Magnoliopsida; Lamiales; Oleaceae
Description: long non-coding RNA (OEUR_LNC002269)
Source: RNAcentral